This 20-nucleotide microRNA is filed under the name Gallus gallus (chicken). Its description in RNAcentral is "microRNA Ros-gga". Lineage: Eukaryota; Metazoa; Chordata; Aves; Galliformes; Phasianidae. The record is from RNAcentral.
AGACAAGAUAACCUUGACCA